Molecule: ribosomal RNA, 1394 nt
Filed under: uncultured bacterium
Lineage: Bacteria
Description: 16S ribosomal RNA
Rfam family: Bacterial small subunit ribosomal RNA
Source: RNAcentral
UUAGAGUUUGAUCCUGGCUCAGGACGAACGCUGGCGGCGUGCCUAACACAUGCAAGUCGAACGGAAUCCAUCGGCAGAUCCCUUCGGGGUGAAGCUGAGAAGAUUUAGUGGCGGACGGGUGAGUAACACGUGAGCAACCUGCCUUCCGGUGGGGAAUAACACAGGGAAACUUGUGCUAAUACCGCAUAAUGCAUUCUGAUCGCAUGAUCUAAAUGCCAAAGCUUUAUGUGCCGGAAGAUGGGCUCGCGUCCGAUUAGGUAGUUGGUGAGGUAACGGCUCACCAAGCCGACGAUCGGUAGCCGGACUGAGAGGUUGAACGGCCACAUUGGGACUGAGACACGGCCCAGACUCCUACGGGAGGCAGCAGUGGGGAAUAUUGCGCAAUGGGGGCAACCCUGACGCAGCAACGCCGCGUGAAGGAAGAAGGUCUUCGGAUUGUAAACUUUUGUCUUCAGGGACGAAUUCUGACGGUACCUGAGGAGGAAGCUCCGGCUAACUACGUGCCAGCAGCCGCGGUAAUACGUAGGGAGCAAGCGUUGUCCGGAAUUACUGGGUGUAAAGGGUGCGUAGGCGGGUUUGCAAGUCAUGUGUGAAAUACCGGGGCUCAACUCCGGAACUGCACAAGAAACUGCAUAUCUUGAGUGCAGGAGAGGUAAGCGGAAUUCCUAGUGUAGCGGUGAAAUGCGUAGAUAUUAGGAGGAACACCAGUGGCGAAGGCGGCUUACUGGACUGUAACUGACGCUGAGGCACGAAAGCGUGGGGAGCAAACAGGAUUAGAUACUUUGGUAGUCCACUCCGUANACGAUGGAUACUAGGUGUAGGGGGUAUCGACCCCCUCUGUGCCGCAGUUAACACAAUAAGUAUCCCACCUGGGGAGUACGGCCGCAAGGCUGAAACUCAAAGGAAUUGACGGGGACCCGCACAAGCAGUGGAGUAUGUGGUUUAAUUCGAAGCAACGCGAAGAACCUUACCAGGGCUUGACAUCCUUUGACAACCUUAGAGAUAGGGCUUUCCCUUCGGGGACAGAGAGACAGGUGGUGCAUGGUUGUUGUCAGAUCGUUUCGUGAGAUGUUGGGUUAAGUCCCGCAACGAGCGCAACCUUUACGGUUAGUUGGUACAUUAAGUUGAGCACUCUAGUCGGACUGCCGUUGAUAAUACGGAGGAAGGUGGGGAUGACGUCAAAUCAUCAUGCCCAUUAUGUUCUGGGGGACACAAGUAAUACAAUGGCGUUUAACAGAGGGAAGCAAUACAGUGAUGUGGAGCAAAUCCGUAGAUAACGUCCCAGUUCAGAUUGCAGGCUGCAAUCCGCUUGCAUGAAGUCGGAAUUGAUAGUAAUGGCGGGAUCAGCAUGCCGCGGAGAAUACGUUCACCGGGUCUUGUACACACCGCCCGUC